RNAcentral lists this ribosomal RNA (459 nucleotides) under uncultured bacterium. RNAcentral describes it as "partial 16S ribosomal RNA". It matches the Rfam family "Bacterial small subunit ribosomal RNA", at positions 338 to 795 of the family's 1533-position model. The record is from RNAcentral.
CCUACGGGUGGCAGCAGUGAGGAAUAUUGGUCAAUGGGCGCGAGCCUGAACCAGCCAAGUAGCGUGAAGGAUGACUGCCCUACGGGUUGUAAACUUCUUUUAUAAAGGAAUAAAGUGAGGCACGUGUGCCUUUUUGUAUGUACUUUAUGAAUAAGGAUCGGCUAACUCCGUGCCAGCAGCCGCGGUAAUACGGAGGAUCCGAGCGUUAUCCGGAUUUAUUGGGUUUAAAGGGUGCGUAGGCGGAUUUUUAAGUCAGCGGUAAAAUGUCCGGGCUCAACCCGGGCCGGCCGUUGAAACUGGGGAUCUUGAGUGGGCGAGAAGUAUGCGGAAUGCGUGGUGUAGCGGUGAAAUGCAUAGAUAUCACACAGAACACCGAUUGCGAAGGCAUCUCACGAAUCCGCGAUUGACGCUGAUGCACGAAAGCGUGGGUAUCAAACAGGAUUAGAUACCCGAGUAGUC